Non-coding RNA from Pelobates cultripes (western spadefoot toad), 471 nucleotides. The record is from the annotation of a GenBank genome assembly. NCBI's taxonomy places the organism in Eukaryota, Metazoa, Chordata, Amphibia, Anura, Pelobatidae.
CCCCACAAUGCAUGUCUCUCUACCAACCCCCAUUUUUGCUUUGUAAAACUUUUUUCCCCCCAACCAGCAUACCUGCUGUCUCUGGCUUGUUGCUGCUUCUUAUUUUCAUAAUCCUCACAGUCCAAAAGAGUGCUUUGCAUGACGAGAGAGAACGGGUUGAGUGGGAUAAAAGACAGAGACAUGUUUCCUCUCAUUCCCGCCUCUCACCAUCACACAUAUCUCACACACGAAGGCGUAGACCAGAUUCCCAGCACCCCAAUAUAUAUAGUUAUUCAUUAAAUAAAGCCCCUAUACAAACACUCCACCCCUAUACACACACACAUACACUAUACAUGGAUGAGCGGCUGUGACCAGGGAGUGUCACUGUGAAGAUUUUUAGCACAAGGAGCCAGGGCCGGACUGGCCCACCGGGAUACCGGGAAAUUUCCCAGUGGGCCGCGGCACCAGGGGCUGGGCUGACAGCCCUCAUCA